RNAcentral lists this transfer RNA (81 nucleotides) under Lithobates psilonota. RNAcentral describes it as "Rana psilonota partial tRNA-Asn". The record is from RNAcentral. Lineage: Eukaryota; Metazoa; Chordata; Amphibia; Anura; Ranidae.
CGGGCCUCGAUCCCGUAAUACUUUAGUUAACAGCUAAAUACUCAAUCCAGCGAGCUUCACUCUACUUCUCCCGCUUAUUUA